CCUUCGGGUUGUAAACCUCUUUCACCAGGGACGAAGCUAACGUGACGGUACCUGGAGAAGAAGCACCGGCUAACUACGUGCCAGCAGCCGCGGUAAUACGUAGGGUGCGAGCGUUGUCCGGAAUUAUUGGGCGUAAAGAGCUUGUAGGCGGUCUGUCGCGUCUGCUGUGAAAGACCGGGGCUUAACUCCGGUUCUGCAGUGGGUACGGGCAGUCUAGAGUGUGGUAGGGGAGACUGGAAUUCCUGGUGUAGCGGUGAAAUGCGCAGAUAUCAGGAGGAACACCGA
This 285-nucleotide ribosomal RNA is filed under the name Dermacoccus nishinomiyaensis. Its description in RNAcentral is "partial 16S ribosomal RNA". It matches the Rfam family "Bacterial small subunit ribosomal RNA", at positions 415 to 712 of the family's 1533-position model. The record is from RNAcentral. Lineage: Bacteria; Bacillati; Actinomycetota; Actinomycetes; Micrococcales; Dermacoccaceae.